AUGGACGGCCUCCUCCAUUGGGAUUUCUGCCCCGACCUCAAGGUCGAGGACCAGGUGCGUAAAUGUUUUGGAUCUAUGGUCCAUUUCGUCCCAAACCCUAACUCCAAGGAGUUCUUCCUUGAAGUUUCUUUCUCCUCGGCCUUAUUUCUUCUCUCGGUGGAAUCUGUGGGAUUGGCACUACAAUCUUGUAUUGGA
RNAcentral lists this ribosomal RNA (195 nucleotides) under Triticum aestivum (bread wheat). Its description in RNAcentral is "partial small subunit ribosomal RNA". Lineage: Eukaryota; Viridiplantae; Streptophyta; Magnoliopsida; Poales; Poaceae. The record is from RNAcentral.